This 1030-nucleotide ribosomal RNA is filed under the name uncultured organism. RNAcentral's name for it is "bacterial SSU rRNA". It matches the Rfam family "Bacterial small subunit ribosomal RNA", at positions 366 to 1413 of the family's 1533-position model. The record is from RNAcentral.
CCGCAAUGGGCGCAAGCCUGACGGAGCAAGACGCGUGGGGGAUGAGGCCUAAUGGUUGUAACCCCUUUUCUCUGGGAAGAAGACUGACGGUACCAGAGGAAUCAGCCUCGGCUAACUCCGUGCCAGCAGCCGCGGUAAUACGGAGGAGGCAAGCGUUAUCCGGAAUUAUUGGGCGUAAAGCGUCCGUAGGUGGUUAUACAAGUCUGCUGUCAAAGCGUGGGGCUUAACUCCAUAGAGGCAGUGGAAACUGAGUGACUAGAGUGCGGUAGGGGUCGAGGGAAUUCCCAGUGUAGCGGUGAAAUGCGUAGAUAUUGGGAAGAACACCAGUGGCGAAAGCGCUCGACUGGGCCUGCACUGACACUGAGGGACGAAAGCUAGGGGAGCGAAAGGGAUUAGAUACCCCUGUAGUCCUAGCCGUAAACGAUGGAUACUAGGUGUUGCUCGUCAUCGACCCGAGCAGUGCCGUAGCCAACGCGUUAAGUAUCCCGCCUGGGGAGUACGCUCGCAAGAGUGUUACUCAAAGGAAUUGACGGGGGCCCGCACAAUCGGUGGAGUAUGUGGUUUAAUUCGAUGCAACGCGAAGAACACUUACCAGGGCUUGACAUGUCCGGAACCUUGCCGAGAGGUGAGGGUGCCUUCGGGAGCCGGAACACAGGUGGUGCAUGGCUGUCGUCAGCUCGUGUCGUGAGAUGUUGGGUUAAGUCCCGCAACGAGCGCAACCCACGUUCUUAGUUGCCAGCAUUGAGUUGGGGCACUCUAGGGAGACUGCCGGUGACAAACCGGAGGAAGGUGUGGAUGACGUCAAGUCAGCAUGCCCCUUACGUCCUGGGGCUACACACGUACUACAAUGCUGUGGACAAAGGCUAGCCAGCCAGCGAUGGUGAGCUAAUCCCAGAAACCACGGCUCAGUUCAGAUUGCAGGCUGCAACUCGCCUGCAUGAAGGAGGAAUCGCUAGUAUUCGCAGGUCAGCAUACUGCAGUGAAUACGUUCCCGGCAUUGUACACACCGCCCGUCACACCAUGGGAGUUG